Molecule: ribosomal RNA, 497 nt
Filed under: uncultured bacterium
Lineage: Bacteria
Description: partial 16S ribosomal RNA
Rfam family: Bacterial small subunit ribosomal RNA
Source: RNAcentral
GAUGAACGCUGGCGGCGUGCCUAAUACAUGCAAGUCGAGCGAACAGAUGAGGAGCUUGCUCUACUGCCGUUAGCGGCGGACGGGCGAGUAACAAGUGGAUAACCUACCUAUAAGACUGGGAUAAAUUCGGGAAACCGGAGCUAAUAAAGGAUAAUAACUUGAACCGUUUGGUUCAAUAGUGAAAGGCGGUUUUGCUGUCACUUAUAGAUGGAUCCGUCCCGCAUUAUCUAGUUGGUAAGGUAAGGGCAUACCAACGCAACGAUGCGUAGCGGACCGGAAAGGGUAGGCGGCCACACGGGAACGGUAACACGGUCCAGACCACUACGGGAGGCAGGAGUGGGGAAUCUUCCACAGGGGGAGGAAGCCUGACGGAGCAACGCCGCGUGGGGGAUAAAGGUAUUCGGAUCGUAAAACUCUGUUAUUAGGGAAGAACAAAAGUGUGAGUAACGAGUCACGUCGUGACGGUACCUAAUCAAAAAGCCACGGCUAACUACGUG